UACGUAGGGGGCGAGCGUUGUCCGGAUUUAUUGGGCGUAAAGAGCUCGUAGGCGGUUUGGUAAGUCGGGUGUGAAAUCUCCACGCUCAACGUGGAGGGGCCACUCGAUACUGCCAUGACUCGAGUCCGGUAGAGGAGUGUGGAAUUCCCGGUGUAGCGGUGAAAUGCGUAGAUAUCGGAAGGAACAUCAGUGGCGAAAGCGACUUCCUGGACCAAUACUGACGCUCAUGUGCGAAAGCGUGGGGAGCAAACAGG
RNAcentral lists this ribosomal RNA (254 nucleotides) under uncultured bacterium. RNAcentral describes it as "partial 16S ribosomal RNA". It matches the Rfam family "Bacterial small subunit ribosomal RNA", at positions 524 to 776 of the family's 1533-position model. The record is from RNAcentral.